This 109-nucleotide ribosomal RNA is filed under the name Erinaceus europaeus (western European hedgehog). Lineage: Eukaryota; Metazoa; Chordata; Mammalia; Eulipotyphla; Erinaceidae. The record is from RNAcentral.
GUCUAUGGCCAUACCACCCUGAACACCCCCAAACUCAUCUUAUCUCAGAAGCUAAGCAUGGUCUGGCCUGGUUAGUACUUGGAUGGGAGAAACAAAAGAUAGCAAGAUA